RNAcentral lists this long non-coding RNA (665 nucleotides) under Fukomys damarensis (Damara mole-rat). RNAcentral describes it as "lncRNA (ENSFDAG00000029124.1)". The record is from RNAcentral. Lineage: Eukaryota; Metazoa; Chordata; Mammalia; Rodentia; Bathyergidae.
CAGUGGCUGAGCUGGGAUCAGACCUAUGAUCCCAUGAACCUUGCUAUGCCUGCCGUGCUCACUGUGUCAGCCUGUGCCUCUGGUUAUAAUUUAAUUACACGUGUUAGCUUUAGUUCUGGUUUGGAACAACUGUUAUCUAACUUGUAAUUUCCUUUGUACCCAUUAGUGAAAAGGUCAAAAGUUUUGACUAUAAUCAAAACCCACCUUUAAUAAAUAGCAGACUUCUUUUCUCUUUUACUUUUUUUUCAGUUUCAAACGCUAAAGGAUACAAAACUACUAAAGCCUCUGCUUAUGCAACACAGAUUACAGAUGACAUUAGAGAACUGAAAAAGUUUUGGGAACUAAAUCUCAGAGGCAAAUAUAAGUGAAAAAGCACUCUGAAUAGUCCUGCUUUUUCAUUAGGGUGCCUAAGGAAGCUAUCUGGAAUUCACCUGUGCACCACAGAUCCUGUAGAACAAAGGCUCUGGAGCCAGGUAAAUACAUAUUCAAAUUUUGCCUCUGCAUCUAAUUAACACGUUUUUUUGCUCUUUACAACACCACUUUAGCACUUUUAAAAUGGAAAAAUAAUAGUGCCAAAGCCAUAGAAUUAUUAUGAAAAUCAAAUAAGACAAUUCACCAGUUAGUGAGUGUCCUCCACGUGUGCGGGGCACCCCAAGGAAGAAGAU